CUCCAGUGAGUCUAAAUGACAGAAGGAAUGGACAAAUUCCUGAGCCUGCUCGUCCUUUGGUUACAACUAAACUGGGUGAGCAGUAAGCAGGACGUGAGUCAGAGUCCUGAAGCUCUGAGCGUGAGAGAGGGAGACAGCGUGGAUCUCAACUGCAGUUACACCGACAGCGCUCUGUACUUCCUGCAGUGGUUUAGGCAGGAUCCCGGGAAAGGGCUCACAUCCCUACUGUCAAUUCAGGCGAAUCAGAAAGAGCAAACAAGUGGAAGAAUUACAGUCUCAUUGGAUAAACCAUCAAGACACAGUGCUUUACACAUUGCGACUUCUCAGCACAGUGACUCGACCACCUACCUCUGUGCUGUGAGCCACAGUGCGCAGAGGGAACCUGUUCCCAGGACUCAAACUGCAGAUGGGCUCCAACCACGUCCUGGCUUGGCGCUGAGGAAACUUCUUCCAUUAAGGGGUUUUCUGUAUUGACUUUCCUUCCAGAAAGAGGCAAUUAGCAAGGGUAGGAUAAUUUGAGAGAAUAGCAUUGAAACAUGUACAUUACCACAGGUAAAAUAGAUGACCAGUGCAAGUUCCAUGCAUGAAGCAGGACACCAAAGCCCACGCUCUGGGACAACCCGGAGGGGUAGGGUGGCAGGGGAGGUGGGAGGGGUGCUCAGGAUGGUGGGGACACA
Molecule: non-coding RNA, 677 nt
Organism: Odocoileus virginianus texanus
Lineage: Eukaryota; Metazoa; Chordata; Mammalia; Artiodactyla; Cervidae
Source: the annotation of a RefSeq genome assembly